AGCAUGUGCUUUUCUUACUUGUAUACUCUUUAAUCCUUAAUCUUCAAUAAACCUCUAAAAAUAUAAUACUCCUUGCAGAGAGAAACUAAUUUCUACCUGCCUCAGUUCCCUAAAUUUUCAUCUUUACAGUCAGCAGCCAAAGAUCACCAUGAUGCUGGCUACUACAGAAGAGAAACCUGAUACAGGUAAAGACUUUGUUCUCUCUAAAGGAAAUUGGACAGGAAUCAUCUAUGAAGACAAGGAAAUGGACACUUGGAUUAAAGCAGACACUAAGCAGGUAUCAGGGAUCUGGAUUAAUGCUGGCACCUUAGAAUAUCAAAGAGGAUUUUUAUUUUUGGUCUUCCCUGUAUGCAAUAUUUUCCUUCUUUUUUUGGAACUUUAACAACACUUUUGUGCUUUUUGUCAAUAAGGUAAUAUUGUUUGAUGUGUGAUGUUGUCUGUCACUUGCUGUCUCAUGGCCCUUUGUCUCUCUGAAAAUAUAGAUAUAUCAUUUAAUGUUUAUUGUUACUUUUAUGAAUAUUAACAAAUUAUCUUCCCAAAGGCAUCUCCAGUACCUACUGAUGUCCCUGCUCUUGUGACUGAUUUUGUGAACUACAAACUUAAACAGAAAAGUUAUGAUAACCUAUUGGGUCCAGAAGAGAACUUCUUUGCAGGUGUAAUCUCACUAGAUCCUCUACAUUCAGCCAUGCACUCUGUUGGAGAUCAAUAUGAAUUCUUCUGUAACAACGUGACUCAGAGAAGUAUUUUAAUCAUACCACACAUGAGAUUUUUGAACAAGGGAUCACCUGGGAUCAUAUAGUGGGAUUUUUUCUAUUCCAAUGCUGCAUUUGGUCCUUGCUGUAUUGGUUCUACAACAAGUUCACAGAUCCAGCUAGUUAAGAACUGGAUGAUGACUUACAUAGAGACUAAGUUGAUGGACUGGAUCUACCAAAAUGGUGGAUGGGGCAGAUUUAUCAAUGUGGAAGAAGGAAGACAUCUGAAAGAAUUAAAUGCUGCAAGAUCAUGUUGACUGUGGGACUAUAUACUGUUAAUGAAACUUAUUAAUGUAUUAACAUAAGUGUGCCUGUUGACAUUAUCAUGUUACAUGUUGUGUCCUUUUUUAGACUGUAAGUGAUCCAGCAGAAAACUGGUAGCAGUUUUCUCUGGAUCAGAGGAGGGAUAAUGUAGGGGGAAAAGACCCCUAGUCCCUUAUAGUUGAUUGGAUUUUAGUGACAAUGAUGGGUUUAAGAUAAUCAGUAUUGUGAUUCUAAAGUGAUUAGUAUAAAUUCCAUUAUAAUCUUAAUACAAUCAGUAAAAUUCAUAAUUUUAUAAGGAUUUCUAACUAAAGCAUAAAAACUGCUUCCAACAGGAUAUCUAACUCCUCCCUAAGAUUGUACUUCCCUUUAUCAUAAGAUGCUGACUCUCCAGAUCUCAUGUCCAAAUAUGGCAUAUAACAUCAUGCCCCCUUUCCUGUUUGGAAAUAGUCAUCUCUUCCCCCAGAUCAUAUGAGAGAGAGGUAAUGGUCACUUGACUAAGUCAUUAGUCAAAGGACUCAUAUGGGCUUUCUGAAAUGAACUAACCAAUCAGCUUUGUAAUUGGGUAACUAUUUCUAAAAUAAGGUCUAUAUGAUGCUAUGUCUUGUGAUCUUGUAUGGAAGUAUUCAUUUUGUUAUAAAAAGCAGGUCUCAACCUCUGGUCAUUGUCUCUUGCCAGGGUCCAACAAUGUAAUACAUGCAAGAGAACACUUUUAUUGGAGGACUUGGCCCUCUUCCAAUAAAAUCUAACUUUCUACCUUGACUUGGAGAAAU
RNAcentral lists this long non-coding RNA (1786 nucleotides) under Monodelphis domestica (gray short-tailed opossum). RNAcentral describes it as "lncRNA (ENSMODG00000050320.1)". Lineage: Eukaryota; Metazoa; Chordata; Mammalia; Didelphimorphia; Didelphidae. The record is from RNAcentral.